This 433-nucleotide ribosomal RNA is filed under the name uncultured bacterium. Its description in RNAcentral is "partial 16S ribosomal RNA". It matches the Rfam family "Bacterial small subunit ribosomal RNA", at positions 29 to 507 of the family's 1533-position model. The record is from RNAcentral.
AACGAACGCUGGCGGCAUGCCUAACACAUGCAAGUCGAACGAGACCUUCGGGUCUUGUGGCGCACGGGUGCGUAACGCGUGGGAACCUGCCCUUAGGUUCGGAAUCACUCCCCGAAAGGGGUGCUAAUACCGGAUAAUGUCUUCGGACCAAAGAUUUAUCGCCUUUGGAUGGGCCCGCGUUGGAUUAGCUAGUUGGUAGGGUAAAAGCCUACCAAGGCGACGAUCCAUAGCUGGUCUGAGAGGAUGAUCAGUCACACUGGGACUGAGACACGGCCCAGACUCCUACGCGAGGCAGCAGUGGGGAAUAUUGUACAAGGGGCGAAAGCCUGAUCCAGCAAUGCCGCGUGAGUGAUGAAGGCCUUAGGGUUGUAAAGCUCUUUUACCCGGGAUGAGAAUGACAGUACCGGGUGAAUAAGCUCCGGCUAACUCCGUG